AUUGAACGCUGGCGGCAGGCCAAACACAUGCAAGUCGAACGGUAACAGGAAACAGCUUGCCGUUUCGCUGACGAGUGGCGGACGGGUGAGUAAUGUCUGGGAAACUGCCUGAUGGAGGGGGAUAACUACUGGAAACGGUAGCUAAUACCGCAUAACGUCGCAAGACCAAAGAGGGGGACCUUCGGGCCUCUUGCCAUCGGAUGUGCCCAGAUGGGAUUAGCUAGUAGGUGGGGUAACGGCUCACCUAGGCGACGAUCCCUAGCUGGUCUGAGAGGAUGACCAGCCACACUGGAACUGAGACACGGUCCAGACUCCUACGGGAGGCAGCAGUGGGGAAUAUUGCACAAUGGGCGCAAGCCUGAUGCAGCCAUGCCGCGUGUAUGAAGAAGGCCUUCGGGUUGUAAAGUACUUUCAGCGGGGAGGAAGGGAGUAAAGUUAAUACCUUUGCUCAUUGACGUUACCCGCAGAAGAAGCACCGGCUAACUCCGUGCCAGCAGCCGCGGUAA
This 506-nucleotide ribosomal RNA is filed under the name uncultured bacterium. RNAcentral's name for it is "partial 16S ribosomal RNA". It matches the Rfam family "Bacterial small subunit ribosomal RNA", at positions 30 to 523 of the family's 1533-position model. The record is from RNAcentral.